Molecule: long non-coding RNA, 1209 nt
Filed under: Homo sapiens (human)
Lineage: Eukaryota; Metazoa; Chordata; Mammalia; Primates; Hominidae
Description: long non-coding RNA NONHSAT183075.1
Source: RNAcentral
CUCAGUCACACCAAGUAACCUGUGGGGCGGCCAGGGCUUAUUGGGAGUGAGCAUUCGUUUCUGCAGCUUUGAUGGGGCAAAUGAAAAUGUUUGGCAUGUGCUGGAGGUGGAAUCAAAUUCUCCUGCAGCACUGGCAGGUCUUAGACCACACAGUGAUUAUAUAAUUGGAGCAGAUACAGUCAUGAAUGAGUCUGAAGAUCUAUUCAGCCUUAUCGAAACACAUGAAGCAAAACCAUUGAAACUGUAUGUGUACAACACAGACACUGAUAACUGUCGAGAAGUGAUUAUUACACCAAAUUCUGCAUGGGGUGGAGAAGGCAGCCUAGGAUGUGGCAUUGGAUAUGGUUAUUUGCAUCGAAUACCUACACGCCCAUUUGAGGAAGGAAAGAAAAUUUCUCUUCCAGGACAAAUGGCUGGUACACCUAUUACACCUCUUAAAGAUGGGUUUACAGAGGUCCAGCUGUCCUCAGUUAAUCCCCCGUCUUUGUCACCACCAGGAACUACAGGAAUUGAACAGAGUCUGACUGGACUUUCUAUUAGCUCAACUCCACCAGCUGUCAGUAGUGUUCUCAGUACAGGUGUACCAACAGUACCGUUAUUGCCACCACAAGUAAACCAGUCCCUCACUUCUGUGCCACCAAUGAAUCCAGCUACUACAUUACCAGGUCUGAUGCCUUUACCAGCAGGACUGCCCAACCUCCCCAACCUCAACCUCAACCUCCCAGCACCACACAUCAUGCCAGGGGUUGGCUUACCAGAACUUGUAAACCCAGGUCUGCCACCUCUUCCUUCCAUGCCUCCCCGAAACUUACCUGGCAUUGCACCUCUCCCCCUGCCAUCCGAGUUCCUCCCGUCAUUCCCCUUGGUUCCAGAGAGCUCUUCUGCAGCAAGCUCAGGAGAGCUGCUGUCUUCCCUCCCGCCCACCAGCAACGCACCCUCCGACCCUGCCACAACUACUGCAAAGGCAGACGCUGCCUCCUCACUCACUGUGGAUGUGACGCCCCCCACUGCCAAGGCCCCCACCACCGUUGAGGACAGAGUCGGCGACUCCACCCCAGUCAGCGAGAAGCCUGUUUCUGCGGCUGUGGAUGCCAAUGCUUCUGAGUCACCUUAACUUUGAACCAUUCUUUGGAAUUGGCGUGGUAUAUUUAACCACGGGAGCGUGUCUGGAAACGCAAACUAUCAUUAAUUUCAUACUAGUUUGUACCG